GACGAACGCUGGCGGCGUGCUUAACACAUGCAAGUCGAGCGGUAAGGCCUUUCGGGGUACACGAGCGGCGAACGGGUGAGUAACACGUGGGUGAUCUGCCCUGCACUCUGGGAUAAGCCCGGGAAACUGGGUCUAAUACCGGAUAUGACUGUCCCAUGCAUGUGGGGUGGUGGAAAGAUUUAUCGGUGCAGGAUGGGCCCGCGGCCUAUCAGCUUGUUGGUGGGGUAAUGGCCUACCAAGGCGACGACGGGUAGCCGACCUGAGAGGGUGACCGGCCACACUGGGACUGAGACACGGCCCAGACUCCUACGGGAGGCAGCAGUGGGGAAUAUUGCACAAUGGGCGGAAGCCUGAUGCAGCGACGCCGCGUGAGGGAUGAAGGCCUUCGGGUUGUAAACCUCUUUCAGCAGGGACGAA
This 417-nucleotide ribosomal RNA is filed under the name Rhodococcus sp. 2A59. RNAcentral describes it as "bacterial SSU rRNA". It matches the Rfam family "Bacterial small subunit ribosomal RNA", at positions 28 to 449 of the family's 1533-position model. Lineage: Bacteria; Bacillati; Actinomycetota; Actinomycetes; Mycobacteriales; Nocardiaceae. The record is from RNAcentral.